This 164-nucleotide ribosomal RNA is filed under the name Spiraea trilobata. Its description in RNAcentral is "5.8S ribosomal RNA". It matches the Rfam family "5.8S ribosomal RNA". From Rfam's summary of the family: 5.8S ribosomal RNA (5.8S rRNA) is a component of the large subunit of the eukaryotic ribosome. It is transcribed by RNA polymerase I as part of the 45S precursor that also contains 18S and 28S rRNA. Functionally, it is thought that 5.8S rRNA may be involved in ribosome translocation. The record is from RNAcentral. RNAcentral also lists the same sequence under 3 other names. Lineage: Eukaryota; Viridiplantae; Streptophyta; Magnoliopsida; Rosales; Rosaceae.
AAAACGACUCUCGGCAACGGAUAUCUCGGCUCUCGCAUCGAUGAAGAACGUAGCGAAAUGCGAUACUUGGUGUGAAUUGCAGAAUCCCGUGAACCAUCGAGUCUUUGAACGCAAGUUGCGCCCGAAGCCGUCAGGCCGAGGGCACGCCUGCCUGGGCGUCACAC